ACUGCCAUAUCACGUUGAAAUACCGGUUCCUGUAUGAUCACCGUAGUUAAGCAACAACGAGCCUGUUGCACAUAGAUGGGUGACCACUUGGGAAUACCAGGGGCUGUAAG
Non-coding RNA from Acanthosepion pharaonis, 110 nucleotides. The record is from the annotation of a GenBank genome assembly. NCBI's taxonomy places the organism in Eukaryota, Metazoa, Mollusca, Cephalopoda, Sepiida, Sepiidae.